AUUUUAAUAAGGUAUAAUCUGCUCCAUGUUAUAUUAAUAGCCGCAAAUCAAUUGUGCUAAGGUAGCAUAAUCAUUAGUCUUCUAAUUAAAGACUAGAAUGAACGAUUCUACAUUUUAAUUUAUUUUUUUAUUUAAUUAAUUUAAAUUUAAUCAAGAAUAAAAAUGUUCUUAUUUUUCAAAAAGACGAUAAGACCCUACUGAACUUUACUUAAGUUAAGCUGGGGAAGCUAAUUAAAAAUAAUUUUAAUUUAUAUUAUAAAAUAAAUAUUCAAUAAAAUUGAAAUAAACAAGUUACCAUAGGGAUAACAGCGUAAUAAAUUUUACAAGCUCUUAUUUUAAAAAAAGAUUACGACCUCGAUGUUGAAUUAAUUUUCCUAAAAAACGAAACCGUUUAAAUAGGGGGUCUGUUCGACCCUUAAAAAAUUACAUGAUCUGAGUUCAAACCGGAG
RNAcentral lists this ribosomal RNA (449 nucleotides) under Callosa ciliata. RNAcentral's name for it is "partial 16S ribosomal RNA". The record is from RNAcentral. Lineage: Eukaryota; Metazoa; Arthropoda; Arachnida; Araneae; Linyphiidae.